GUCGAAGCCGAACCCGAACCCGAAGCCAUCCGAAGCUCAUACAACAUUUGGGGCCAAAGGACGAACUGUGGCGCCGGAUAACGGAACCCAAAGCACCGGAACACUUCGAGGCGAAGCACGCGGCGCACGGAACGGCACGGCAGCCUAACGGUAAACAUUGAAUCGGCGGUGUUAUCAUCCUUCAUCCUCGUCGUCCGGUUACUGUUUAUUUUUUUUUUUGUUUUUUUGGCGUGCUUUUAGUUCGUUAUUCCGCUGACCGCUUAUCGUUAACUGUUAACUGUUAAACGUUUACCGCUAUCCGCGGACCGGAACGUUUACCGCGAGCUGGACUGCACCGUGAUACCGUUACGUUACGCGCCUUUGAAAAGCCAGCCACAAAAAGAAGGGCCAUGAAUGGUGCAGAACAAAGAGUGUUGGCCAUUAAGUAACGCCACAAUCCCCGAAUCCUUCCUCCUCUGAUAACGGGCCGCAUAAAUUACGGUGAAAAGCAGAAAGCUGAUUGAAAACUUUUCGCAUUUCCCGAUAUUUUUUUGAAGGCAAUCUUGUUGUUGCCAUUUUUGUGAAUUUUUUUUUUGUUAAUGUGCCAAACCAAAGAAAAAAGUUAAUCAAAACUAAAAAAUACAAAAUAAAUCGGAAAUUUGUGCGAUAAGCCAAGCCCCCCUCCAGCCGCGCUCUCUUUUGAACGGAAGCUAACGGGAAGCUGAUAAACAGUUUGGCGCUCAAAAGAGUGGAAGGAGUGCUUCAAGAGUGGAAAACAGUAAAAGCCGGCAUCAUCAGCAGCAGCAGCAGCAGCAGCAACGGAAGCUCUCAAAAGAGAGCAAGAGGCCAAAAGCCGGCAGAGGCGCGCUCAAAGAGAGGCCGAAGGAGCAGCAGCAAGAACCGUUUAAUGAACA
RNAcentral lists this small RNA (893 nucleotides) under Drosophila pseudoobscura pseudoobscura. Its description in RNAcentral is "GA32419". Lineage: Eukaryota; Metazoa; Arthropoda; Insecta; Diptera; Drosophilidae. The record is from RNAcentral.